AGGCAACCAGUUUGCAAAUUAUGAUUGCAUUCAUGGUGUUAAUGUGUCCAGAUACUAACCUCCUGUUUUUCUAAUUCGCUGAGAAGAAAUGGUCAUUCCUUCCUUUGCUGAAGCGAGUCAAGUAACGCAGGAGUACAUU
Molecule: non-coding RNA, 139 nt
Organism: Picea glauca (white spruce)
Lineage: Eukaryota; Viridiplantae; Streptophyta; Pinopsida; Pinales; Pinaceae
Source: Rfam